GACGAACGCUGGCGGCGUGCCUAAUACAUGCAAGUAGAACGCACAGUUUAUACCGUAGCUUGCUACACCAUAAACUGUGAGUUGCGAACGGGUGAGUAACGCGUAGGUAACCUGCCUGGUAGCGUGGGAUAACUAUUGGAAACGAUAGCUAAUACCGCAUAAUAUUGAUUAUUGCAUGAUAAUUGAUUGAAAGAUGCUAUUGCAUCACUACCAGAGGGACCUGCGUUGUAUUAGCUAGUAGGGGAGGGAACGGCCCACCUAGGCGACGAUACAUAGCCGCCCGGUGAGGGUGGUCGGCCACACUGGGACUGAGACGCGGCCCAGACUCCUACGGGAGGCAGCAGUAGGGAAACUUCGGCAAUGGACGAAAGUCUGGACGAGCAACGCCGCGUGAGUGAAGAAGGUUUUCGGAUCGUAAAGCUCUGUUGUAAGAGAAGAACGGGUGUGAGAGUGGAAAGUUCACACUGUGACGGUAACUUACCAGAAAGGAACGGCUAACUACGUG
This 505-nucleotide ribosomal RNA is filed under the name uncultured bacterium. RNAcentral's name for it is "partial 16S ribosomal RNA". It matches the Rfam family "Bacterial small subunit ribosomal RNA", at positions 28 to 507 of the family's 1533-position model. The record is from RNAcentral.